GAUCAUGCUCAGGAUGAACGCUGGCGGCGUGCUUAACACAUGCAAGUCGAACGAAGCACUCUAUUUGAUUUUCUUCGGAAAUGAAGAUUUUGUGACUGAGUGGCGGACGGGUGAGUAACGCGUGGGUAACCUGCCUCAUACAGGGGGAUAACAGUUGGAAACGACUGCUAAUACCGCAUAAGCGCACAGGAUUGCAUGAUCCGGUGUGAAAAACCUCCGGUGGUAUGGGAUGGACCCGCG
Molecule: ribosomal RNA, 240 nt
Filed under: uncultured bacterium
Lineage: Bacteria
Description: partial 16S ribosomal RNA
Rfam family: Bacterial small subunit ribosomal RNA
Source: RNAcentral